This 2553-nucleotide long non-coding RNA is filed under the name Salmo salar (Atlantic salmon). Its description in RNAcentral is "lncRNA (ENSSSAG00000110508.1)". Lineage: Eukaryota; Metazoa; Chordata; Actinopteri; Salmoniformes; Salmonidae. The record is from RNAcentral.
AACAGGGGUGGAUUCUAGAACAGGGGGUGGAUUCUAGAACAGGGGUGGAUUCUAGAACAGGGGUGGAAUCUAGAACAGAUGUUGUUUCUAGAAUAUAUGUUGUUUCUAGAAUAUAUGUUGUUUCUAGAAUAUAUGUUGUUUCUAGAAUAUAUGUUGAUUCUAGAAUAUAUGUUGAUUCUAGAAUAUAUGUUGAUUCUAGAAUAUAUGUUGAUUCUGGAAUAUAUGUAGAUUCUGGAAUAUAUGUAGAUUCUGGAAUAUAUGUAGAUUCUAGAAUAUAUGUUGUUUCUAGAAUAUAUGUUGAUUCUAGAAUAUAUGUUGAUUCUAGAAUAUAUGUUGUUUCUAGAAUAUAUGUUGAUUCUAGAAUAUAUGUUGAUUCUAGAAUAUAUGUUGUUUCUAGAAUAUAUGUUGAUUCUAGAAUAUAUGUUGAUUCUAGAAUAUAUGUUGUUUCUAGAAUAUAUGUUGAUAUUCUAGAAUAUAUGUUGAUUCUAGAACAGAUGGUGAUUCUAGAAUAUAUGUUGAUUCUAGAACAGAUGGUGAUUCUAGAAUGGGGGGAUUCUAGAACAGGGCUGGCCCCAUGGACCAUUAUUAGAGAAAGAGCAUAGAGGUAGAAAGAGGGCUCUAGAUGGAUAUAACCUGGUUUGAUGAGUUCUCUUUCUACCUCUAUGAGAAGAGGGUUGCAAUUGACUGUGUACAUAGUAGUCCCUCUGUGUUUUCUACUCAGAUUUAUAACACCUGACUGGUGUUUUCUGCUCGGGUUUAAAACACAUCUCUGACUGGUGUUUUCUGCUCUGGUUUAAAACACAGCUCUGACUGGUGUUUUCUGCUCUGGUUUAAAACACAUCUCGGACUGCUAUGCACAUGCCUUAACUAACAACCUUGAUGUGUUUGUCACGAUGACGAUGAUGAUGCUAAGAAUAAAAACAUUUGUGUUUACACACCCAUACAUACACACUUCCCAUGGUUUUCAUUUGGGGGAUGGCGAGACAGGUAGAGGGAGGAACUCUUGAUUCAAGGAUUUUGGUUUUGUGAGAAGCAGUGAACGAGUGCACACUUCAGAAGAAAGGAGAUAUUAUUGGGACGCCCCCUAUAUGCUCUCCUCAGUCAGAAGCCAUGUCAGCAAUUCGCUAUAUAAACAGGUCUGUCUGUUGUUGAAGUGGGAGGGACAGAGAUGAUAAGAGGUUAGUCUGUCUGUUGUUGAAGAUGAUGGGAGGGACGUUAUGAAUACAGUCCCUGGUAGUCUACCAUCUACCAUCUACAUUAUGAAUACAGUCCCUGAGAAUCUACCAUCUACAUUAUGAAUACAGUCCCUGAUAGUCUACCAUCUACAUUAUGAAUACAGUCCCUGAUAGUCUACCAUCUACAUUAUGAAUACAGUCCCUGAGAGUCUACCAUCUACAUUAUGAAUACAGUCCCUGAUAGUCUACCAUCUACAUUAUGAAUACAGUCCCUGGUAGUCUACCAUCUACAUUAUGAAUACAGUCCCUGAGAGUCUACCAUCUACAUUAUGAAUACAGUCCCUGAUAGUCUACCAUCUACCAUCUACAUUAUGAAUACAGUCCCUGAGAGUCUACCAUCUACAUUAUGAAUACAGUCCCUGGUAGUCUACCAUCUACCAUCUACAUUAUGAAUAUAGUCCCUGAUAGUCUACCAUCUACAUUAUGAAUACAGUCCCUGAGAGUCUACCAUCUACCAUCUACAUUAUGAAUACAGUCCCUGAGAGUCUACCAUCUACCAUCUACAUUAUGAAUACAGUCCCUGAGAGUCUACCAUCUACCAUCUACAUUAUGAAUACAGUCCCUGAUAGUCUACCAUCUACAUUAUGAAUAUAGUCCCUGAUAAUCUACCAUCUACAUUAUGAAUACAGUCCCUGAUAGUCUACCAUCUACCAUCUACAUUAUGAAUACAGUCCCUGAUAGUCUACCAUCUACAUUAUGAAUACAGUCCCUGAGAGUCUACCAUCUACCAUCUACAUUAUGAAUACAGUCCCUGAUAAUCUACCAUCUACAUUAUGAAUACAGUCCCUGAUAGUCUACCAUCUACAUUAUGAAUACAGUCCCUUGAUAUCUACCAUCUACCAUCUACAUUAUGAAUACAGUCCCUGAUAGUCUACCAUCUACCAUCUACAUUAUGAAUACAGUCCCUGAUAGUCUACCAUCCACCACCUGUCCUGUGACUUCUAAUAGGCUCUCGUGAAGGACAGGAAGUGAGAGACAGAGGGAAGGAAGACGUUUUAGACACACCCAAUGAAACUGUUCAUUAAGAACCAAUACAAUAGAACUUGUAUUGACUAUUCAACCCCCCCUCUGGAGCGGUUUGUCUCACUACGACAUCACUCUCUGGAUCCUUGACUUUAUAGGGUCCCCUGACGUUGUGAUUCUGGCAGGAUUUCAUCCAUUCUAUUGAUGUUUCCCAAAUGGCACCCUAUUCCCUAUAAUAGUGCACUACUUUAGACCAGAGCCCUAUGGCACCCUAUUCCCUAUAUAGUGCACUACUUUAGACCAGAGCCCUAUUCCCUAUAAUAGUGCACUACUUUAGACCAGAGCCUUAUUCCCU